RNAcentral lists this small nucleolar RNA (150 nucleotides) under Ochotona princeps (American pika). Its description in RNAcentral is "Small nucleolar RNA SNORA74 (ENSOPRG00000024053.1)". The record is from RNAcentral. Lineage: Eukaryota; Metazoa; Chordata; Mammalia; Lagomorpha; Ochotonidae.
CCCAGCUGUGGGCAGCUGCCUGGGUUGCCUUGUAUCUAGGCGAGUGUUCCACUGCUGGGAGAAAAGCAGCCAGGAGCUGGUGUGCGUUCUAGGCCUGGUUAAUGCCAACUCUAUUAGCUAUACCAGUGUGCCAGCAUAGUUGCCCAUUCU